RNAcentral lists this ribosomal RNA (492 nucleotides) under uncultured bacterium. Its description in RNAcentral is "partial 16S ribosomal RNA". It matches the Rfam family "Bacterial small subunit ribosomal RNA", at positions 29 to 507 of the family's 1533-position model. The record is from RNAcentral.
AGUGAACGCUGGCGGUAGGCCUAACACAUGCAAGUCGAACGGCAGCACAGUAAGAGCUUGCUCUUACGGGUGGCGAGUGGCGGACGGGUGAGGAAUACAUCGGAAUCUACUUUUUCGUGGGGGAUAACGUAGGGAAACUUACGCUAAUACCGCACACGACCUACGGGUGAAAGCAGGGGAUCUUCGGACCUUGCGCGAUUGAAUGAGCCGAUGUCGGAUUAGCUAGUUGGCGGGGUAAAGGCCCACCAAGGCGACGAUCCGUAGCUGGUCUGAGAGGAUGAUCAGCCACACUGGAACUGAGACACGGUCCAGACUCCUACGGGAGGCAGCAGUGGGGAAUAUUGGGCAAUGGGCGCAAGCCUGAUCCAGCCAUACCGCGUGGGUGAAGAAGGCCUUCGGGUUGUAAAGCCCUUUUGUUGGGAAAGAAAAGCAGCAGGUUAAUACCCCGCUGUUCUGACGGUACCCAAAGAAUAAGCACCGGCUAACUUCGUG